UGUGUGUGUUUGAAUAAUUAUCUCUAUACCUAUCUAUCUAGGUGGAUAUAGUAUAGAUAUAGAUGUCUACCUAUCUAUCAUGUGUGUGUUUGAAUACUUAUCUCUAUACCUAUCUAGGUAGAUAUAGUAUAGAUAUAGAUGUCUACCUAUCAAUCAUUUGUGUGUUUGAACAUUUAUCUCUAUACCUAUCUAGUAGAUAUAGUAUAGAUAUAGAUGGCUAUCUAUCAAUCAAUCAUGUGUGUUUGAAUACUUAUCUCUAUACGUGUCUAUCUAGGUAGAUAUAGAUGUCUAUCAAUCAAUCAAUCAAUCAGUCAUGUGUGUGUUUGAAUACUUAUCUCUAUACCUAUCUAUCUAGGUAGAUAUAGUAUAGAUAUUGAUGUCUAUCUAUCUAUCUAUCGUGUGUGUUUGAAUACUUAUCUCUAUAUCUCUCUAUACGUGUCUAUCUAGGUAGAUAUAGAUGUCUAUCAACCAAUCAAUCAAUCAAUCAAUCAUUUGUGUGUUUGAACAUUUAUCUCUAUACCUAUCUAGUAGAUAUAGUAUAGAUAUAGAUGGCUAUCAAUCAAUCAAUCAAUCAUGUGUGUUUGAAUACUUAUCUCUAUACCUGUCUAUCUAGGUAGAUAUAGAUGUCUAUCAAUCAAUCAAUCAAUCAAUCAUGUGUGUGUUUGAAUACUUAUCUCUAUACCUGUCUAUCUAGGUAGAUAUAGAUGUCUAUCAAUCAAUCAAUCAAUCAAUCAAUCAUGUGUAUGUUUGAAUAGAUAUAGUAUAGAUAUUGAUAUCUAUCUAUCUAUCUAUCAUCUAUCUAUCUAUCUAUCUAUCUAUCAUGUGUGUGUUUGAAUACUUAUCUCUAUGUCUCUCUAUGUAGAUAUGGUAUAGAUAUAGCUGUCUAUCUAUCUAUUGUGUGUGUCUUUGAAUACUGUUCUCUAUAUUUUCUUAUCUAGAUAUGUGUGUGCAUGUGUAUGUAUAUGUUGCGUGUGUGUGUGUGUGAAUACUUAUCUAUAUAGCUAUCUCUAUCUAGAUAUGUGUGUGUAUAUAUGAAUACUCUCUAUAACUAUUUAGCUAUCUAUAGUUAUCUAUCUAGAUGUGUGUGUGUAUAAGUAUGUGUGUGUGUGUGUGUGUGUGCAUAAGUGUGUGUGUUUAUCUCUACAUCUAUCUAUCUAGAUGUGUGGUUGUAUGUGUAUGUGUAGCUAUGAUAUAUAUGGACACUCUAUCUCUCUAUCCAGAUGUCUUGUGUAUAUAGGAGUGUGUGUGUGUAUGUAUGCAUACAUACGCAUCUCUCUAUCUAUCUAUCUAUCUAUCUAUCUAUCUAUCUAUCUAUCUAUCUAUCUAUCAUCUAUCUAUCUAUCCGUAUGAGUGGACUUUGUUUCCUAAAGAUUCCAAAUCCAGAAAAAAUUAAAAUGAAUUAUAAGUGGUAGCACAUUGUCAGCUAUUACAUACGGAUCAAAACUAUCAAAAUGUAUCAAAUCACUUUGGUAUAGUGCUUGGAAAAUUUCAUUUUAUAACAAAAGAAUUCAUAUCCUCAGCACGUUUUUUCAAUUCCUGUACAAUUGGUACCUUUUGGAAACAAGCAUCAGAUACAUAUCUCUCCCCCUCACUCUGUUUCUCUUUCUUUCUAAUAUGUGUAUGUGUUUCUAUACCUAUUUCUAUCCAUAUCUAUGUAUGCUCCUCAAGAUGUAUGUGUGUGUAUACCUAUUUCUUUCCCUUCCUCCCCCCUUCUCAAUAUGUGUAUAUGUGUGUGUGUGUGUGUGUGUGUGUGUAUAUAUAUCUGUGUGUUUCUUGGGACCUUAUCAGAUGCAAGUCAUCCCCCGUUUUGACACACUUCUAAGACAUUUCAGGGAAGAAGUGAUACAGAACCCUUCACACAAUGUGAAACUACUUCUGGUUGUCACCCAUCGUGUUUUGUCCUUGAAAUGUGGUAGAAGUGUAGAGAAAUGGUGAGGGACAGGAGAUGGGGGAGAAACCAUCUUCUGAAUUCCUGAUGCACCUUUAUCAGUGCUCAUAUCACAUUGGUGCCCAAACUUAUGAUUUUAAGUAUGAAAGGAGUGUUAAAAGUGGAGGGAAGAUUUCAUUGAAAUGAAUGUUAGAUUUCAUUGAAAGGAGUGUUAAAAGUGCCGGGAUUCAAAGGGGAGGCAGAUCAUCACAAGGAGGUUUAAAAUAGUGCUGGCUUAGGACAGGAAGGCAUGGAAAGGACAGAUCAUGGAAAAGGGGUUUAAAAUCCCCCCUGCUCUCUCCCUUCCCCCAUAAUAAUAUUGGCUUUCAAGAUUGUACUAUAGUUAGCUUUCUAGUUUUGUUUUCCCACCAUUUCAAAGUUUUUCUUGAUUUAAAAAAUUUGGAGUGGGCAGGGAAUGCACUCGCUCAUGUGAUGGUUCAGAACAUGAGACAGAAUGGGAGAAAGACUGGAGAACAUAAAGGGUCUGAUGGGAUUUGUAAAAUGAAACAAUUUCUUUUAAAAUGGAAGGGUAUGAUAUGCUUUUCUAAGAACUUGACCCCCACCCUUACUGCAACACAUCUGAUGAAGUCCUCAGAUUGCAGUGUUAAUAGUUGCAGCUUCUCUGAGCCAUUCACUCUCAUUCAGCCUACCUCUCAUGAUUGUGAACUGAAGUAGGGGCAAGGGAGACUAUAGACAUGAGUUCUUGAAGUGACAAAAUAGUAUAUAAAAUAAUAGUAAUACAAUACACAUACACAAUAUUUACAAUUCCCACCACCAUGAGGAUUAUUUUCUUUGACAUAUGAAUCCUUUUUGAUACAAUCCUUAUAGAGUUGUUGUAUGCUUUCCGGGCUAUAUGGCCAUGUUCCAAAAGUAUUCUCUAGAUGUGGGCGAAACAUCAGGAGAGAAUAUUUCUGGAAAAAUGGCCAUAUAGCCCGGAAAACAUACAACAACCCUGUGAUCCUGGCCAUGAAAGCCUUCAACAACAAAUCCUUAUAGAUUUAGAUAUGGCCUGAUCUCUAGGCUUAUUCAUAAUAUAAUUCUUGACCCAGUUCCAUCUUUCUUCAACUUCUCACAUUCUGUUUUCAUUAUCUUUUGAAUCAUUUAAUUUUACAUCCAUAAUUUCAAAUUCCAUUUCGUCCACCAUAUACUGAUACUAUUUGUUUACUGUCCACUUUGGUUUGUCUUUUCAUCCCAAUACUAUCACCACUUGUGUGUACUCAGUUAUUGCUUCCUGUAUUUCCCUGUAAUUUCCCAUUUCUUCUCUUUGUACUAAGACCGCCAUUUCUUUUGUUAUCACCCAAUCGAUUCCUAAUAUUUGGUUUGACACAUUUUGUAUAGUCUGCCAGAAGUAUUGUACCUGUUCGCAUUCCCACAUCAUGUGCAUAAACCACCCUUUCAAGUCAAUACGGGACUUGAAAAGUAUGUGGGAAAUGGAGUUACAAUUACAGAACAAGAUAUGAGACAAGUGGUAGAGAUAAUAGGGAUGGCAAGGAAUACAAAAGUAAGAGAAAUGAAGAGGAAAAUACUACAUAAGUGGUAUUGUACACCCUGACAUACUAUUAUUAAAAGGGGAGUAGUCAGUCUUGGCAUGAAUGUCAACAGAAUAGUAAUACAUUUGACUUUUGGUUUCCAUUGGGGAUUUAGUAUGGAGUCUAUUUCAGGACUCCAUACUAAAAUUGAUGGAUAUUCAUACUAUUGUGUGCAAUGGCAUGGUAAGUUAUAUCCCUUAUAUAAAAUGGCAAAAUCAAAGUUUGAUUUUAAAAAUACUUUCAAAUCAUGGAUGGUUGAAUCCAUGGAUGCAGAAUCUGUGGAUACGGAAGGCUCAAUGCAAGGGAACAAUGAGGGGAAGGUUGAAAGGAAAUACUAAUGAUGUGUGAAGGUCAUCUUGAGUCCCAUUUCUGGGAGAAAUUUUGGCAGGAAAUCCAAUAAAAAAAACAAAGAACAUAAAUUCUUAAUAUGAAUUGAAUUAAUGUACUCUAAGGAGAAUGUGAGAGUUACUAAGGAGAAUGUGAGAGUUAAAAAUGAGAGAAGGCUGAGGUGAGGUAAUGAGAUGCAAGGUGAGCCAAAAAUAACAGCAGAGCGUUAUCUAAAAUGGCAAUUCUUAGCAGGUGCAGUAACUCCUCUCUCAGGUUUUAAGACAGGGCCAGAGCGUGAUGGUCCUUUGCACCCUUUGUUUUCAGAUUGUCAGUAGUAAAGCAUUUGCAGACCAUUUGGUGCCCUUUUGUCAUGGCAUAAAUUUGUUCUUCCAAAGUUGUCAGCUGUGGAGGUGGUGAGAAAAAAGUGCAUAGCAACACGGAGCCUCCUGCGAACCCAAAUAAAACUGCGUGAAAGAUGAAUCAGGCAACACAAGAAGGAGCAGCAGUUUGUUAAAGAAUGUCUCUGUGUUGUCUCUUUUUCUGUUUUGGAUGAGUUUCCACAAUCACCUUCAGCACAUUGUGGCCAAUGCAAUGAUAAGAUGGAUGUGUGAAACCACCAUGGCCUUUCCAGCAAGGGAGGUGGAAUUGCUUCACAACACCUUAAAUUGCGAAGGUUCUCAGUGAAGCUAUGUCACAAGUUCAGCUGAUAACAGUGAUAAAAGGGCUAGUGUGUCAUACAUGGCUUUUAAACAAUUUGGCAGUAACACAUGUGCUUUAUGUGCUGUAGAUGCAAAUUCAAUCUCUGUCACCUACAAUUUUAUAUGUAUCCAAUGUAUACCUUUCUUGUAAGAACUCAGGUUAGCCAACAGCCUAGGUGAAAACACACUGUUAAAAUCACAUAUUACAAAUAUUGAAAAAUCACACAUUGGAAGUUACCGAUCUUUUGAAUCUCAAGAUGAAAUGUUAGCAAAAUAGAAACAAAACUACAAAUGAGCUAUAGUAAAAGACAUUCAACAAUUGCUCAUUCCUCAAAUGCCUGUAGAAAUGAAAGUGUAUCUAAAAGGGCUUGAAAGACAAAAGCCAGUGUGACAACUAUUAAAACAGAAUUGUGUAACUGGAGGGCCACCACUGAUAAAGCCCUGCUAUAUGUAGCACAGGCAACAGUAAAGGAUGCUGGGAGCAGUCAUUUGAAGACACGCAGAGGUACACAAUUAUCAACACACAUAUGCAUGCUAGGUUGCCCUGAUCCAGAUUGACGUGUCUUAUGUUGAAUACGUAAUAUCCUAAGAGCCGAAUAUAUGUCCCUAUUCACUAAGGAGUGGGAAGCAGAAACAUUUUUCCCAUGAAUUGGUUGACAGUUCCAGUCCAAACGAUGUUGCUGUUUCUCCCAGUAGCCUUCUGGAAGCUCACAAACAAGAGAUAAGGAUGUGACCAAAACCUGAGACUAGCAGAGUUUUGUUUGUGUUGCAGUGCUUAUUCCCUACUGAAGCAUUCUGUGCUCCCGAGAGCUUCUUUUUUACACUUUUGACCCCUUCCUGCCCAAUAAUUUUCACAUGCCCCGGGGUAUAUAGGUAUAUGAAAUACGCAUAAAAAUCAAACAUUUACUGAUAAUCAGCAAUUGCAUAAUUUGCUAAACAGUCUGAAGAACCUUCUGCAAAGCCCAUUAUAAACACUAUACAUUGUUAACAGAUUGGUGUAAAUGGGUGCAUUCAGAAACCUUAAAUUGUUGCUAGAGUUUUUUGUGAACCCAACACUGAGGGAAGGGGACCCCAUUUGGGUUUGGGACCCAGACCUUAAGAUACAGUGCUCUAGAAGAGAGGCGUUUUACUGUCAGUAUUGGCCACCCAGGCAACUAUGGUGAGUUUCAUCCCAUCUGCAAAGAGGGAUGGAUGAACCAAUUUUUGCUCACAAUUGCAUCUAAAUGGGUUGUUCUUGUCAUGUUUUUGGCUACUAAGCAAAUUUAGAACCAGGAGAGUGUCUCCCCCCUUUCUUUUUACAAUAGAAAGUGCCUUUUAAGUCACUUCUAGUUCACUUCCUGGUUUUUAAAGCCUUUCCUGAACUUAACUUGAUGUGAAUGCACGGGUGUUGUAAUUUCACGAUCUAUUAAAAUCCUCUGACAGAGUUCCGGGGCCUCUCCAAAUUGCAAAUCUCAAGAGUCCCUAAACUGCAGCUAUGGCAGUAAAAUGGAUUGAAAUUGCUAUAAUAGCAUAACAUGAAUUGACUAUUGGUUUUCUAUGCAAAUAGGAAAGAAGAGUAUAUUUGAAUGAUAUCAUUACAUCGAUUUCAUACUACUUUAACUGUCAUGGCUGCACUGUAAGUGCUGGGAUCUAUAAUUUGGUAAUGAGCUAAUGUUUGUGGCAUAGUAGUUUGAGUGUUGUUCUGUGACUCUUGAGAACAGGGUUCAAAUCCCUGCUCAGCCAUGAAAACCCCCUGGAUGCCUUUGGGCAAGUCAUGCACUCAGAGCUUCAGAAAGCCCCAUGAUAGGUUCCUCCUAGGGUUGCCCUAAGUCGGAAAGAAUUUGAAGGCACACAACAGCAACAAAAGAUACUUUGAAUUUUAUAUUUUACCACUUAAAUUAUUAUAAAAAGGAGAAAUCUGUGUGUAGUUCAAGAAGUUUCUUCAUUUGUAGAUGAGCAAGCCCAGAUCUCACCAAGCACAACAGCUCUGUCCUAUUGUUGGGACCAUGCUACUUCUAAAUCAGUAGUUGACAUAUAGUCAUCAUGACAGCCUUAUCUCGCAAAACUAGGAUGUGAAGGGGAUACAAAUAGCCCAAUGUCCUGUUGCAAGCAGAGGCAAAUAUGGGGGAGAUUUCCAGGAGCACUAAGUCAUUAAACUCACAUCUGAGUGUGGAUUUUGCAUUAGAUUUCUGUUUGAGCUGUCCAUAGUACUGAUUCCAGGGUUGUUAAACAGCUACAUAACUCUUGGUUUUGAAGGUAGUUUCUUAUGUUUUCAUUCAAAAAGGAAAUAAACAAUUGGUCUGAAUUUUAAUUAAAGGGGCCUAAAUAUCCUAAAUGCCCUUGGAAGUUAAGUAGCUUCAGCCCAGGUUAGCACUUGAAUGGGAGACCAUUGAAGAAUACCAGAUGCCAUAGGCCAGCUUUUCUCAUCCUGGGGGUCGGGACCCCUAGGGGUAUCAUGAGGGAUGUGUCAGAGAGGUUGCCAAAUACCAGUAUUUUCUCUUGGUCAUGGGUGUUCUGUAUGGGAAGUUUGGCCCAAUUCUAUCAUUGGUGGGGUUCAAGGGGCUCUUUAAUUAUAGGUGAACUAUAAAUUCCAGCAACUACAACUCCCAAAUGCCAAGGUCUAUUUCCCUCAAACUCCACCAGUGUUCAAAUUUGGACAUAUUGAGUAUCUGUGGCAUGUUUAGUCCAAAUCCAUCAUUGUUUGAGUCCACAGUGCUCUCUGGAUGUAGAUGAACUACAACUCCAAAAUUCAACUUCAAUGCCCACCAAAUCCUUCCAGUAUUUUCUGUUGGUCAUGGGAGUUCCAUGUGAUAUCCAUGAGGUUGCCAUAAAUAAAUAAGCAACUGGUAUAUGUUAGUAAGAUCCAUCCAAGUUCGUUUCUAAAAUCAGAUGAGAUCUGGUGCCUUUAGGGCCUUUAGGCCUCUUUAUUUAAAGCUUUGGUCAGUUAUUUCUUUUUUCUUUGGAUGAAAUCUUCUGAAACUUCUUUCUGAAAGGCAGUUUCGAGCUCGUUUUGUGUGUCUGUUUCUAAGGACUGACACUCUUUCCUUGAACUCCUGUUGCGUAUUCAUAGCAUCCUCAGUUUGUUGUUUUGCAAAAUAUGGGCAGAAGAGACAGCAAAAAACAGAAAGAGCCUAUCAACUGCAUAGAUACAUUCGACAGCCAUUUGUCAUCUGCCAACCUCCUCUUGGGCAGCAAUACAAUUGACGAUAGAAAGUCUCAAAUGGUCACCAAGAAUUGGCAUUAGGACUCAUCAUUAAUCAAAAGUUAUGCAUUUUAUUAGAAUCAAGAGAUGCUAGAUGGAGGUGGCUAUUUUCACUUGCUGGUAUAUUGUAAUUUUUUUGUUGCUUCCAAAUCUCUACCCUUCUGAGAUUGUUAUCAUCAAGGGGAGCCAGUGUUCUUAUCUUUGCAGAAUAUAUCUUAAGAACUCCUGACCUCUCGAUAUCCCAAGAAGGAUCUUGCUUAUCUGCAUGAGAUGUGUUACAAUUUCUGGCACCAUCUACACUGUAAAAUUAAUGUAGUUUGACACCACAUUAACUGCCAUGACUCAAUGAUAUGGAACCCUGUGAUUUGUAGUUUGGUGAGGCACCAGCAUGCUUUGACAGAGAAAACUAGAGACCUUGUAAAACUACAGCUCCCAUGAUUCCACAGAAUUGAGUCAUGGCAGUUCAAGUAGUGUCAAAUAGCAUUAAUUUUUACAGUGUAAAUGCACCUUCUGUCAGAAGAUCCUGGUAUUAGAAGUCCUAGUUCAGUAGCACUGUUUUAAAAAAGAUUUGGGAAUGAUGUGAUCUGGAUUUUGGGGUGGGCUUGGAGUUUUAAUGCAUGACAAUGUUUUAAUAACAUAUAUGGUUUAAUUUUUUUGAAUAUUUAUAUUACCUUGUUGUAAUUUGUAUUAUUUUAUUAGCCACCUUGAGUUCCUGUAUUGGAAAAAAGUCGGAUAAAAAUAAAAGGAAAUACAUGAAAUACAUAGAAUGUUCCUAAGCACCUUCUAGAGGGCAUGGAUAUAUUUUUUGCCAUAUUUUAUGCAUGGAGCCUUGGCCAUUUUAGUCACAAGAGUGUCUUUUUUAAGCAACAGGAAGAGACUUGAAGUCACUGCGUGUCUUGUUGACUCUCCAUGAAUUUUAUAAAACAAGGCACCCAAUUCAGGGGUUCAUAGUGGUUAUGUGAAAAAGGGGGAACUUAUGGAAUCAGAAGCCUUCAUAAAUAAAGAUUUAUAAUCAAAUAGAAAUCCUCCAUGUCUCCUAAAGGACAUCCUCUUAUUGCUCUGAGCACAUUGUCUCCCUCUUCAAUAAUUCCUUAUUGAUACCUGAACACAGCUAGACUUUAAUAUCAAGUCAUACUUUUUAAAACUACUGAUAUUUUACCCGUUGAUCUUGAACCAUAAAAAGCUGCUUAUGGAUGCUUCUGUAUUUCUAAAACACUGCACACAUAAAAGUAUGGGUGAGAGAAGAGCUUGAAGAUUGCUGUUUGUGACAAGCUAAGGAUACAGAGCCUUCAGUAAAAUAUAUAUUACAGGUGACAGAAUGGGGUUUUAUAUGACUAAAUGGGAAUUACUAGACAAGAGCUUCGGUAGUUUCAAAGCAUUCAGGGGAAAGGCUUGUGUUUUGGACUAAUAUUUGAGAUGACCCUUGCUAGACACUUAAACCUAUUGUGCAUUUAUUCAGAGCUUCCACUUUAGUUAUUUUUAAACCGCAAUUUCCUAUCCUAUCUGACCAACUACAUUUUAUUUUGGAUACAAACUAGGAUGUUCCUGGUCCUAGGAUAUUACCAUCCAAAUGGCCCAGUUUCUUAUAAACUCUUGACUGGCUGUGCAAACCUCUGACUAUAUGUGUUUACUCAGAGUAAGUUCAUUUUAGUUUGGUGUGGUUUACUCCAAAGUGAAUAAGAUUGUGGCCCCUUCUACACUACCAUAGAACUGGAUUAUAUGGCAGUGUAGACUCAGGACCCGUCUACACAGCCAUAUAAUCCAAAUCUGGAUUUUAUAUGGCAGUAUAGAAGGGCCUCAUCUAAUUCAGUUCAAUGCAGAUAAUGUGGAUUAUCUGCUUUGAUAAUCUGGAUUAUAUGGUAGUGCAGAAGGAGCCUGUGUCUCCAGGAAUUUAGGCUAAUGACUUGGUCUCAGCAUGUAUCUACACUGUAGAAUUAAUGUAGCUUGAUACCACUUUAACUGCCAUGGAAUCAUGGGAAUUGUAGUUUUAAUAGAUCUGCAAAAUUGUUGGUGCCUCACCAACAUAAUAAUUAUUUUUAUUAUGCAAUGCUUUUGACAGGAAAUAAAUGAAAAAAAAACCCAAACUGCUGCAGUAGUGCAGUGGUUAAAACUGCUAGCUACAAGAAAUCUGCUGACCGGAGGGUUAGCAGUUUGAAGCCACGAGUCAGGAUGAGCUUCUGACUGUCAGCCCUAGCUUCUGCCCACCUAGCAGUUCGAAAGCAUGUAAUGCGAGUAGAUCAAUAGGUACCGCCUCAGUGGGGAAAUAAAGAAUGCCCCAUACAGACAUGCAGACAUGAUGGCAACUAUCAGAGAAAGUCUAUGUACAACAGGUUCCUUGGCAUGGAUAAAUGGAUAAUAAUAAUAAUAAUAAUAAUAAUAAUAAUAAUAAUAAUAAUAAUAAUACUUUAUUUAUAUACCGCCCUACCUCCCGAAGGUUUCCAUCAAUAAAUACAACAACAUACAGUACAUAAACAGUAUAAAAACACAUUAUUACACAAAAUAAAACCUUUAAACUAAAAUAACAACCCAUGACAAUCACAACAAUUUUCAAUCAGGAGAGGAGGAUCAAUAAUCCAAUAGGUUAACAUGGAUCCGAGCACCUGCCCAUGGCUGGAUUGAGCAUCGCCUCCAAACGCCGGAGAUGGAAUGAGGAAGGCCUUUACCUCUGUUUGUGUAUUGUAUGUCAUGGUUCACUGUGUAAAAAGCCAUUGAAUGUUUGCCUUAUAUAUGUAAACUGUAAUCCGCCUUGAGUACCUUCGAGGAGAUAAAGUAAAUAAAGUGUAUUAUUUUUAGCAUUAUUAUUAAAUCUCAAGAUUCAAUAGCUUUGACUUAUGACAGUUAAAGUGGCAUCAAACUGCAUUAAUUUUAGUACAGAUGGGUCCACAGUCUCACUAUUGUGGCACAUUGAAUCACGUGACCCUCCAGAUGUUAUUAGAUGCUACCUCCCAGUACUCCCCAUUCACAGCUAGGGAUGUUGGGAGCUGCAGUCCACCAUAUUAUUUUCAUCUUUUUUCCAUGGCACAAGUGGGCAAAGUGCAGUCUUCAAGAAAUGGUUACAUCCAUUAGCUAAUGAGAGCUAAUGGAAUUUGCAAUCCAGUAAUAUUCAGGGAGUUACACAUUUCCCAGCACUGCUCUGUCAUGUCCUAUAAGGGGAGAAAACUGGAAAGGAUUGUUUUUCCACAAGUCAUAAAGGCCUUUUUUAUUUGGGAGGACAUUUGGGUUUUUACUAUAUAGUGGCCAAUGGAGCUUUUAAUGGGGAUUAUAGUCUUUCUGUUUUACAGUAGGUCCUUGGUAUCUGCUGGGAUUUUGUUCCAGGACUCCCACCUCCAAGUCCCACAAUAAAAAUGGCAUAGCAAAAUAGUAUCCCUUAUAUAAAAUGGUAUAAUCAUGGUUUCCUUUUGGGAUAUUCUUAUUUUUAAUAUUUUCAAGCCACAAAUAGUAGAAUCUAUGGAUGCAGUAUGGAUUAAUAUGAAAAAGCGGGUUGUGUUAUAUUUUAACUCUGGACAUUGUCCAAAUCAGACUGCAACUCUCAUCACCCUCAUGCUGCACAGACCAGGGCAUCUUGGACAAUGCUUGUCAGGACUGGGGAUGCUGGGAGGUGUAGCCCAACACAUAUGGAAGGCACUAGCUAAGGGAAGGCUGCCCUAUAAUGCCUUGGAAGGGGCCUUGGGUGGUAGGAACCCCAAAAGUUAUUACUGCACAUGUAUAAUUUAUUGCCUUGCCUCCAAUUUUUGAACACGUCCAUUACGCCCAGCUAUUGGUUAUUAGUUAUUGUUGAGUUUAUGCUUUUAAGCUUUUAUACCGGUAUGUUUUUAUGUAUUAAUUCAUUAUAAUUGAAUGUAUCGUAUCUUGUUGUAUUGUAUUGUUGCAUUACUGGGCUUGGUCCCCAUGUAAGCCACCUCGAGUCCCUUCGGGGAGAUGGGGUGGGAUAUAAGAAUAAAGUUGUUGUUAUUGUUGUUGUUAUUAUUAUUGCUAGCUUGUGAGGCCAUUGCAAAAUCUUAGUACAGAUUUUAUUUUUCUAAGCCAUUUGCAGUAGUUAGUAAUGUGCAUUUCUGUUCCAUCUCUCUAUUUUCCAUUUCUCUGCAAUUUCACACAGCACAAUGUUUCCAUACUACCCAGUUAUGUAUGCAAGCACUUUUCAUUGUCGAGCGAAUAAUAUAGAUCCCCAAUAUGGUGAAAAGAAAGAAGGCAUUCUAUUCUUCCAGAGGACAAAGCAGUGGAUGAUGGAUAGGCUCUUCUCAACAGCAUGAGAUAGUCUCCUUGAAGCCCACCAAUGACCCAUGUUGUGAUUUUAAAGAAGGCAAAUUCACUAUGAAAAGAACUGAUGUAAUGAAGAAUGUUAUUUUCAGAGCAUCAUGCUCCUGCAGAUUGUCUGUGUCCAGCGGAAGCAAUAAAACGUGAAGAACUGUU
This is a long non-coding RNA of Anolis carolinensis (green anole), 12072 nucleotides long. RefSeq lists it as uncharacterized. The record is from RefSeq and is a predicted model, not a curated record. Lineage: Eukaryota; Metazoa; Chordata; Lepidosauria; Squamata; Anolidae. The transcript has 2 exons.